AAUCAAAACCUAAAGAAAAUG
RNAcentral lists this microRNA (21 nucleotides) under Anolis carolinensis (green anole). RNAcentral's name for it is "aca-miR-737-3p". Its record names the gene aca-miR-737-3p. RNAcentral also lists the same sequence under 1 other name. Lineage: Eukaryota; Metazoa; Chordata; Lepidosauria; Squamata; Anolidae. The record is from miRBase by way of RNAcentral.